CGUAGUGAUGUCUAUAAAAGCAAUCCCCCCAUGGCUGUGUCGUUUCCCUCGCUAAAUGUUCUCUCUCUGCUCACAGCUUUUCACGGUGAAAAGGAGAAGGCUAGAGUGAGAAAGAGGGGUGGGUCUCAUUUUUUACUUCAGCUCUUAGGAGUAUGAGAGAGAGAGAGAGAGAGAGAGAGAGACUGUUUUCUCCUUGUCUCAGUGGAUGUGGCGGCCGAAGCUUCCCAACAGUUGACUGUGUUGGAUACGUGAAACCCGGGGGAUACAUUUGCUUUGCGUUCCCCGCCUGAUCAUCUAUCUAUGAGCAACGGUUUGCUCUUCUCUCGUGUUCGUCUCUUCCCUGAGAAGUGGAGAAGGACACGCAGGUCUUUUUGUGUUGCAGGAGGAGGAGAGCAGAAGAAGAGUGAUGGAGAAGCCAGAGAAAGGAGAAGGGUGCUUUCCGGGAAGAGAUGGUGCUUUCUUCUUCUACUGCCAUGGCAGCACACUUGGAUGCUCGCUCCAACUAGUAGGAGGAGGAGGAGGAGGAGGAGAACUAAGAAAGAAAGAAGAUGGAGGGACUUGCAGCCCAACACAAGGAAGCUGCAGCUGAACUCAAGAUGGAUUGGGCAGUUGAUGGGAGGCUUCGACACACAUUAGAUGAAGAUGAAGAUGAAGAUGAAGAUGAAGACGAAGACGAAGAUAAAGAUACAAAGCUGGUGACUGUUGUCUUGCUUUGAGGUUUGUGCGUUCGUGGCGUGCGAUAUUGGCGUAAUAGGCUCAAUCACUUCUUCCUUACUGUCUCAUCUUGUAGAUGUUGCUUUGUUUUUGCUGUGGUGAUGGUUGCUUCUAUGCAAAUCUUGUCAUUUGUCUUCUC
Non-coding RNA from Musa acuminata subsp. malaccensis (wild Malaysian banana), 853 nucleotides. NCBI's taxonomy places the organism in Eukaryota, Viridiplantae, Streptophyta, Magnoliopsida, Zingiberales, Musaceae. The record is from RefSeq and is a predicted model, not a curated record.